This 1402-nucleotide long non-coding RNA is filed under the name Salmo trutta (river trout). RNAcentral's name for it is "lncRNA (ENSSTUG00000028465.1)". The record is from RNAcentral. Lineage: Eukaryota; Metazoa; Chordata; Actinopteri; Salmoniformes; Salmonidae.
AAUGUCAUCAGAGGAUAAGACUGUGGAGCCCUCUGACCAGGGACCCUCGCUGCCCUCCGGCAGUGCAGGGGCCACGUCCACAGGAAGCCCUGCCCAGACAGACAAGCGCCCCAGGGGCAGGCCGCGCAAGGAUGCUGCCACAACCACCACCAUUGCACCCCAGGCGCCACCCACAUCCAAGACCAGGAAGAAACGUAUAUCUGCUGUAGACGUUGGGCACCAGAGAAGCCCCUUACGGCCUCUCUCCUAUCAGACAGUGACAGAGGGAGAGAGGAGCUGGAGAUGUCUGGGAACAGCGAUGCAUUUUUUAAUUUAUCCUGGUGUCUGUCUACUCUACACCCCCGUGCCGUCAUCACAGGGAUGCUCCUGGGCUUUGAGGUCGUGGGUUACAACAUUAUGGAGCUCUCGUCACUGUUAGAGCUGGGCUUAUUUUGGGCCUUAUGGACUCUUAAAUACGUGUUGCCGUGACUAUGCCUCAUUACAGAAAUAAAGAUCAGGGCUAUCUAGUGUCUACUUCACUAAUCAUUUAUUGAUUUGGUACUUUCAGUUAGUUUGGCUGUUUUUUUGCUUCACUGUUUCCUGCCCAAUGCAGAGGCUUGAACUGUGACAUUUAGGUUUCCAUCUUGUUGCUUCUUAUCUGGAGUGGGAAGUCAUUUGGCGGGAGGAGUUGACUUGGCAAACUGUCUGAUUUGUGUUUUCUUUCUCCAGUGGCAUCGAAAAUUACCCCGUCCCCCUGCAUCCUCCCCACUACCCCCGCAAAAUGCUGGCUGCUCUCAUUUAGACUGUGUUUGCUCUUCCCACUUAGUGGGCUCACUGCACGUGGUGCUGUUUAAUUUGUAUCCAUGACAUUUAUCACCUCGACAUGGCCCUCAGAUUGGGUUAAGACAGAACUCCUACUGGAGGAUCCUGACACUGACAGAUCUGUGUGUGUGUGUGUGCUGUUUAUGCACUCUCCAUUGAUGUGUUUGUUAACUUUGCUCUGCAGACUGUUAAUUUCAAUAAAAAGAAGAAAAGGUAACAUCACCUUGUUUGCAGGUCUGAGUUUUGACUGUAGCAACUAUAUAUGUGUCUUUAACUCUGCCCUAGUGUCACUUACAGAUAAGUUGACAUCAUCAUCAUCAAAGGAGACGUAGCCUAGAGGUGAAGAGUGGGGUAGGCUAGUGAUGGUGUGAGAGGUGAAGGGUGGGGUAGGCUAGUGAUGGUGUGAAGGGUGGGUUAGGCUAGUGAUGGCGUGAGAGGUGAAGGGUGGGUUAGGCUAGUGAUGGUGUGAGAGGUGAAGGGUGGGGUAGGCUAGUGAUGGUGUGAGAGGUGAAGGGUGGGGUAGGCUAGUGAUGGUGUGAGAGGUGAAGGGUGGGGUAGGCUAGUGAUGGUGUGAGAGGUGAAGGGUGGGGUAGGCUAGUGA